RNAcentral lists this ribosomal RNA (111 nucleotides) under Escherichia coli. RNAcentral's name for it is "partial 16S ribosomal RNA". The stretch from base 1 to 99 matches the Rfam family "Bacterial small subunit ribosomal RNA", at positions 1435 to 1533 of the family's 1533-position model. The record is from RNAcentral. Lineage: Bacteria; Pseudomonadati; Pseudomonadota; Gammaproteobacteria; Enterobacterales; Enterobacteriaceae. RNAcentral also lists the same sequence under 4 other names.
UUAACCUUCGGGAGGGCGCUUACCACUUUGUGAUUCAUGACUGGGGUGAAGUCGUAACAAGGUAACCGUAGGGGAACCUGCGGUUGGAUCACCUCCUUACCUUAAAGAAGC